RNAcentral lists this long non-coding RNA (773 nucleotides) under Olea europaea subsp. europaea. Lineage: Eukaryota; Viridiplantae; Streptophyta; Magnoliopsida; Lamiales; Oleaceae. The record is from RNAcentral.
GUUGAUGUCAAGAUGAAACUGAAUACAUAAGCAGAUGUGAUAAUUUAAUACAGAGGUGAUGCUCUGAAUGUAAGUAGAAAAAACGAUAAUCUGGAUGUGAGUAGCAAAGUCUAUGCUGUGAAUAUAUAUAGUUGGAAUAAGUUGACGUCCUUUUAUGGGAGUGACCCAUCUAUAUCAAGAGCUUUUUCCAUAGUGUUUGGUCCAAUCAUGGAAGGGAUUAAAUUCUAAAAUAGCAAGGCGUGGCUAAUCACGGGAGGCAUCACACUUGUCCUUGUUGGAGCUCUUUUUUUUUUUAUUUUUUACUUCUUUGCAAGGGGUUUAUUCUUCUGUACAAGGGUUUCCUCUAUGGUGUUUGAUACAGCCAUGAAAGGCUUUGUCUUCGCAGGUAAUAAGGUGGGCCCACCCUUCUCCUUACAAAAUGGUAAUUGAUACCUUUACAUGAUCAAUAGUUCAACCAUGUCAAAGGAUUCUUAUAUGGUGGAUGGUCCACCAAUGCGGGGAAUAAUAUAAGCUCUUUGAAGAUAAGUAAAGGUAACAUGGUUGAAGUAGAGGCAAAACUCUGAAAAAUAGAUAGUUGUAAUACAAUUGAUGCAUGAUGAGCUUUUUAAAAGAUAAAUGCAGCUAUAUUGCAAUAAUUCAUAUGGUGAGGUAUCUCGCGGAGUAAGGAAUAAAUAUCAAGUUGGUGGCUCGUUUCAAACGAUCGAAGACUUAUAAGUAGGCUUUAGAUAGAUGAUGUCUUAUAGCUGGGCUCGAUGAUAGUGAAGGGCGAGGGA